Molecule: ribosomal RNA, 228 nt
Filed under: uncultured bacterium
Lineage: Bacteria
Description: partial 16S ribosomal RNA
Rfam family: Bacterial small subunit ribosomal RNA
Source: RNAcentral
GACGAACGCUGGCGGCGUGCUUAACACAUGCAAGUCGAGCGAGACUUUCUCUUCGGAGGGAUGCUCUAGCGGCGAACGGGUGAGUAACACGUGGGCAACCUGCCCCUAGCUCUGGGAUAAGCCCGAGAAAUCGGGUCUAAUACUGGAUAUUCACGACAUAGGGCAUCUUGUGUUGUGGAAAGGUUUUCUUGGUGGGGGAGUGUGCUCGCGGCCUAUCAGCUUGUUGGG